CGAAGUAUUCAGCAUUGUCUGAGGCAUCAUGAACGUGAUAGAAUUCUGAUAACAUCGAUUUUAGAAGCGAGCUGAGUUGUGUCAAGGCAGAAAUAAAAAAUUUACUUGGGGAAGCAUUGGAUGUUAUAACCAGAUGCUCAGCAAGGUUUAACGGGAAAUCCGAUAUUAUUAGUCGAACAUGUGAUAUCCGACCACACGCAGUGAAAUCAAAUCUCAACAAAUCGCGACCCUGGUAUACUAUUUAGCCUCCAAUAUUGCAAGUUUGAGUUCACGAAACGUUUCUAGGUCAAGUUAUAUUUUUAAAAGCAUUAUUUUUUGUUAUUUCUUUAAAGAAUGUUUAUUUCUACUGCAAAUUGCCUAUUUCAAUUAUAAGUAAUGUAUACGGUAUGUUUUCAGACCAUUUCUACCUUUAUUUUUAACAGAGUUGAAUUUGUGCGAUCAUUGUUUAAAAAUAUUACACCUUCAAUAAAAAUAAAAGUCCAAAUGUGUGCCGACUGAUUUUGUGUGUUCCUUUUUGAACGAGAAAAAUCAUUUUUUCAUAUUAUUUUCCUGUUUUUGCCGCUUUAAAGUUUUUUUAUGUAAAAAGUGACGACACUUCAAUAAUUGAUGGUGUGGUCAUGGUUAAUUAAUAAAGAUUAUAUUGUUUACACAUCAGAAGAAUUUCGUUUAUUAUUUUGUUUAUAUGUGGUAGGUCAUUGGUGUUGAUUUUAUUGUUUGCGUUGACAUGUUCUUGACUUCCUGUUAUUGCAUAUUUUUUUCUUUAACAGCAUGAACAUUCGCUGGCAGAAACUUU
Molecule: long non-coding RNA, 793 nt
Organism: Hydractinia symbiolongicarpus
Lineage: Eukaryota; Metazoa; Cnidaria; Hydrozoa; Anthoathecata; Hydractiniidae
Exons: 2
Source: RefSeq, a predicted model, not a curated record